CCCUCGCUCGACAAAUCGCCAUUCGAAGCUUACAGACAGACACUGGGCCUCGCCCAGCGUCGCGCUCGCUUUGGGAGAAAGUCCCCGGACGACUUUCCUCGGAAAGCACGCGGAAACGCACCGCCAUAGAAGCACUGCGGUUGACCUCCUGCGCCUCGGCUCUCAUCGCCGCCCACCCGCCCCGUCUGUCGCUACAUCCGUCUCUACCCCCCCUCGUCUCCUUCUCCUCUCGCUCUACGUGAGCUUCCCGUAUUGUGCACCCAUCUUCGCACCCUCUCUCUGCUGUUGCUCUGUUUCUCCCCUCACGCACCCCAUGGAUGAAGAUACGAGUCCGCGGCGUGGGAGAGGUUCGGAAGUACACAGAGUCGGGGUGCGGACCUGGGUGUCCGCGAGUCGCAAGCGCUCGGUGGGGGAAAAGGUGUGAGGCAUACAGGGCGGAUGGCAGGUGGACGCUGGGUUGCGGCGUGUCUGCAUCGGGUGCUAGAGGAUUUUGUUGUCGAGGUUGAUAGGUAUGCGAUUGCCCGGCCGCAUCUCGGCCGGGUUACUCGAUGGGGCUCAUUCUCGAGGCGAGG
This 572-nucleotide RNase MRP RNA is filed under the name Escovopsis weberi. Its description in RNAcentral is "RNase MRP". It matches the Rfam family "RNase MRP". Rfam says of the family: RNase MRP is an enzymatically active ribonucleoprotein with two distinct roles in eukaryotes. In mitochondria it plays a direct role in the initiation of mitochondrial DNA replication. In the nucleus it is involved in precursor rRNA processing, where it cleaves the internal transcribed spacer 1 between 18S and 5.8S rRNAs. Lineage: Eukaryota; Fungi; Ascomycota; Sordariomycetes; Hypocreales; Hypocreaceae. The record is from Rfam by way of RNAcentral.